AUACGUAGGGUGCAAGCGUUGUCCGGAAUUAUUGGGCGUAAAGAGCUUCGUAGGUGGUUUGUCGCGUUGUUCGUGAAAUCUCACGGCUUAAACUGUGAGCGUGCGGGCGAUACGGGCAGACUAGAGUACUGCAGGGGAGACUGGAAUUCCUGGUGUAGCGGUGGAAUGCGCAGAUAUCAGGAGGAACACCAGUGGCGAAGGCGGGUCUCUGGGCAGUAACUGACGCUGAGGAGCGAAAGCGUGGGGAGCGAACAGG
RNAcentral lists this ribosomal RNA (256 nucleotides) under uncultured bacterium. RNAcentral describes it as "partial 16S ribosomal RNA". It matches the Rfam family "Bacterial small subunit ribosomal RNA", at positions 523 to 776 of the family's 1533-position model. The record is from RNAcentral.